ACGAUGGAUACUAGGUGUAGGAGGUAUCGACCCCUUCUGUGCCGGAGUUAACACAAUAAGUAUCCCACCUGGGGAGUACGAUCGCAAGAUUGAAACUCAAAGGAAUUGACGGGGGCCCGCACAAGCAGUGGAGUAUGUGGUUUAAUUCGAAGCAACGCGAAGAACCUUACCAGAACUUGACAUCCCCGGAAUCCCGCUGAGAAGUGGGAGUGCCUUCGGGAAUCGGGUGACAGGUGGUGCAUGGUUGUCGUCAGCUCGUGUCGUGAGAUGUUGGGUUAAGUCCCGCAACGAGCGCAACCCUUGUUGUUAGUUGCCAUCAUUUAGUUGGGCACUCUAACGAGACUGCCGGCGAUAAGUCGGAGGAAGGUGGGGAUGACGUCAAAUCAUCAUGCCCCUUAUGUUCUGGGCUACACACGUACUACAAUGGCUGAUAACAGAGGGAAGCGAAGUCGCGAGGCCAAGCAAAUCCCUAAAAACAGUCCCAGUUCAGAUUGCAGGCUGAAACUCGCCUGCAUGAAGGUGGAAUGCUAGUAAUCGCAGAUCAGAAUGCU
RNAcentral lists this ribosomal RNA (551 nucleotides) under uncultured bacterium. RNAcentral's name for it is "bacterial SSU rRNA". It matches the Rfam family "Bacterial small subunit ribosomal RNA", at positions 806 to 1358 of the family's 1533-position model. The record is from RNAcentral.